CUUCUGAGGCCUCCACUAGAGGAGUGGGCUAAGCAACAGCAGCGUAGGUAGAGGUGGUGAUCUGAUGAUCGCCAAAUAGCAGCAGCCAGUAACAGCUAGUGUUGUGUCCCACAUGCAUGUGUUAUGAUGUUCAUCAGCUAAGUUUGCCUGUAGCUAGUUUGUUCCUCUCUCUUCCCUGUAGUUUGGUUCCGCCCAGGUAGCCACCCCUCCCAUAGUCAGUAUUCCUGCAGACAAGUAUUUGUAAGCAUGCACUGCAUCUAUCUCUCUGUACCUGGUAAAGCUACUUCGUUUUGACCUAUGGAAUUUGUCACUAAGAUUUACACUGCAAGAUUAAACCUCUUCAAAAUCUUCAUCUGUGUCUUCCAUUGAGUCGACCUAUCUGUGGAUACUGCCCUAAUAAGCAAACACGCGCACCUGCCACCUUGAAAACGAACAUGCUCUUUUUCACUCACCGCUUCCUCUCUGGUUCUCUUGCCUCGACCUCGGGAUGGACGUACCUCCUCUUGCUCUGGUGUGGCUUCAGGCAAGGUGUGUCCAUAAGUUGCCCCAGAAGGAGAAGCAUAACUGGGGCCUGCCUGUAGGCUAUGACAUCACUCGCCCACAUGACAUCACUCGCCCACAUGACAUCACACACUGACCUGUGGAACACCAGCUGCUGGUGGGCUCCCAAAAGAAUCCACCGAUGACAGAUACUGAGACUCGGCAGAG
This is a long non-coding RNA of Xenopus laevis (African clawed frog), 708 nucleotides long. RefSeq lists it as uncharacterized. NCBI's taxonomy places the organism in Eukaryota, Metazoa, Chordata, Amphibia, Anura, Pipidae. The record is from RefSeq and is a predicted model, not a curated record. The transcript is spliced from 3 exons.